This 370-nucleotide long non-coding RNA is filed under the name Malus domestica (apple). Its description in RNAcentral is "long non-coding RNA (MDOM_LNC019339)". Lineage: Eukaryota; Viridiplantae; Streptophyta; Magnoliopsida; Rosales; Rosaceae. The record is from RNAcentral.
AAAAAAAUCAUUGCAUGAUGGAAAUACCCAAAAAGCAGAAAGAAAAACAUAACUUGAAUGAAUCAAAUUUAUAGCAAAAUAUACAAUUUCAAUAAACACAAGUAGCUAGAGAUGCCAAGUCGAUUUCGGGAAGCGAAAAUAAGUAUGUUUGCAUUGAAAAAUAAAAGAUAUUUCAACAAAUUUUAGGAAAUUAGCUCAAGAAUUUCCCUUUUUAAUUAUUAAUUAGAUCUUUUAGCACAAAAUAGCAAAACAUAAUAAAAUAAAAAAUAAAAACAUAACAAAACUAGCAACACUCAACAAAAAAUACUUUUAUUUUGCUAAAAAAAACCAAAUUAUUUUAUCUACCGGCUAAUUCAUAGCGAAUACUCGA